Molecule: small RNA, 164 nt
Filed under: Chrysemys picta bellii (western painted turtle)
Lineage: Eukaryota; Metazoa; Chordata; Testudines; Emydidae
Description: TUC338 (ENSCPBG00000027589.1)
Source: RNAcentral
GUCCCAGCCCCAAAGAGUGUACCAUCUAAGUAUCCACUGAACAUUGGCAAUAGUAGUGCAAAUUUCCCCAUACUGCCCCACCAAUGUGCCUCAACUCUGCUGGAGACCAGCUCUAGAGGUGAGAGCGUAAUUCAGACUCUAUGGCUAUUUAAACUUGGGCCUCU